This 431-nucleotide long non-coding RNA is filed under the name Fragaria vesca (wild strawberry). Its description in RNAcentral is "long non-coding RNA (FVES_LNC003492)". Lineage: Eukaryota; Viridiplantae; Streptophyta; Magnoliopsida; Rosales; Rosaceae. The record is from RNAcentral.
GCUCGAUUCCUGCUUCUAUAGGUAGCUUGAGCAACCUGAUUCUUUUGUCGCUCCAGGACAAUCAACUUUCCGGUUCCAUUCCACCAGAGAUAGGAAACCUUUCUAGUUUGGGUUACAUGGAAAUGAGUGAAAACCAUCUAACAGGUCCAAUCCCUCCAAAAUUUUUGGAAGCUUAAAAAACAUGGCUUGCUUGUCUAUCUUCGACAAUCAACUUUCCGGUUCCAUUCCACCACAGAUAGGAAACCUUUCUAGUUUGGGUUACAUGGAUAUGGGUGAAAACCAUCUAACAGGUCCAAUCCCUCCAAAUUUUGGAAGCUUAAAAAACCUGGCUUACUUGUAUAUCUUAGAGAAUGAACUUUCUGGUUCCAUUCCUCCAGAAAUAGGGAACCUUUCAAGUUUGGUUGAAAUGGAAAUGGCCAGAAACAAAAUAA